RNA transcript from Physeter macrocephalus (sperm whale), 5700 nucleotides. RefSeq lists it as uncharacterized. Lineage: Eukaryota; Metazoa; Chordata; Mammalia; Artiodactyla; Physeteridae. The transcript has 5 exons. The record is from RefSeq and is a predicted model, not a curated record.
AAAAAUCCAACUGUAGAAAUUAAGAACUUAAUAAACAUUUUUAACAACACUCCCUUUCUCUCCUCCGCUCCUAAGGCCAAUAUGCCCCCCUGUGCUGUGGACCCCAUCCCUCUCGUGUGGAAUCACCCGCAGAGCUCAUAGGGGGUCAGGAACACUUUGUGAGCCCGUCGGCCAGAAAGGAAAAGCCCACAGUUCAUGGGACAUGUGAAGAGGUCCUCAGCAGGGCACUGACUAAGCCACACAUCAAAUUACCCUAAGGUAAGGCUGCUCUCCCAUCUCCAUAAGCUCAAGAAGGAGGGGAUGAACGGAACAUGCUAAAUAAAAACACAGACCGUAUUGAGAAGAUCCAAGUGAAACUUUUAGAAAGUUCCACGUCUGAGGUUUUUCAGGUACUGAUGGGAUUCUCGGCACAUUACUUCAGAAACAAAUAUCGUUGAAUACUGAGGAUGCAACAAUAGAACGUAUACAAGAUAAAAUACACAGAGAAAAAAGAUGGGAAAAAAUAAAAAGAGCCUCAGAGAGCUGUAGGACACCUUGAGGCAGGCAAUACACGUGGAAUUCGGGUCCCCAAGGGAUCGGGCUGGACAGAAGAAAAUAUUUGAAGAAAUAACUUGCAAAAUGUUCCUAAAAUUGCUAAAACUAUAAACCCACAGACGCAAGCAGCUCAACAAACAUCAAGUUCAAGAAACAUGAAUGAAACUAUACAAGUCAUAUCGGUAUCCAAGUGCUUAAAGGCAGUGAUUAAGAGGAAAGCUUAAAAGCAGAAAGAGAAGCAAGACGUAUUCUGUAGAGGAAUGAAGCUAAGAAGGGUUUUUCACGGAAACAAUGCAAAGGACAGCAUUCAGCCAAAAGAAGGAAAAAACCUUGCAGAAACGAAGGUGACCCCCGCCCAUGCACACACACAGCCAGGGUGCUGUGAGUGGGAAGCCCAGGAGACACCCCUGCCUCAUACCCGGGGUGUCGGCCGAGGCCCGGGGGGCGCCUGGUCUCACCCUCCUGUCUGCUCAGGGUGUCCACGCUGUCGCCCCGCAGCCCCACUGGGCCCUUUCCCAUCACUACCCGAAAGUCCUUCCAGCGUCCCCCGGCCGUGGCAACGGGGCCCCCAGCCCCACACGCGCUGCGGCCGCGGCCUCGCCCUCCUGGCCUGGCUCCCAGCCUGCACGAGCUCGCAUUCCCCGUUUAUCCCCUUUCCAUUUGUCCUUUGGCCUCUUCCAGUCGCCUUCCGUUCCCGUCACAUCACUCACCAAAAUAGCUCCAAGUCACCCGGGACCCCGUGUCACCACCUCCAAGGGACGCGUGUGCUCUCAGCUUCCUCAACCUCCGGCCACCGCCCCCCCAAGACGUGCAUCCUCAGCCUCGCGACCCCGCCGUGGGAUGUCAGAGCUGCCCCAGGGUACUGCUCACGGCCCCUUCUCUUCCCGUCCGGGCCCCUCCUCUUACCCUUCGGAGGCUCCACCUGGAGGCAGGUCCCGCCACCUCUGACCCCCUCCAGGGCCAUGGCCCCAGGCCGAGUUGGGGCCAACUCGUGCUGAACGACGACAGCCUCUCUCCGCGCCCGUCCUGGCUCCCCUAACGAGUACUCUCCAGACCACGACCAAAUAAAUGUCUCAGCAGGCAAACCUGAGCAGUCACCCCACGCCCCUCUGAGCCCUUGAACUAAAGACCAGGACCUUGAGGUCUGAGCCCCGCCCGCAGGGUCCUGGCUGGAAGGCUCCAGGUAUCAUGUGUGCAUUCCGUGCGGUGUGACCUCCAUCGCGGUGUGACCUCCAUCGCACUCCUCACCGAGAUGGGGGUGCCGGGAGCCCCCAGGGCCAUGGGUGACGCACAGCCCAGCUCCCCCGGGGUCAGAUGUUUCCCAAUUCGUGAGGUUCAUCUGGACCAGAUAGAGGAUAAAAAUUGUCUUAGCAGAGGAGAAACCCAAAGAGGCUAUGAAAACCCAUGUGGGCGAGGAAAGGCCGACAUUGAAGUGGCUUAGAGUUGUCAAGGCAACCACAGAUUUCUACAUCUUGGUAACAUUCAAGAUUACAACGCGAUCCUUAAUGCAAUAUUCAUGGCUGUGUUUUAAAACUAUGAGAACUGCCACCUGACUGUUAGAACUGUACCCUGUAUGCCUUUCUUCUAAACCAACUGUCCCCAACGCCCAAGGACUAGUGCAGAGACAGGAGUUGGUUUGGAUCUGCACUCUCUCUUUGACCAGAUCGUGCCUGGCCCAUCGUACAAGCUCAACAACACAUUUUUACUAAAUGUGAAAGCAUGGCCUUUAUCCUGUAGAUGCUAUUUACGGGUUCCUGUUUACAGCUAUGGCCCUCAAUUAAUGGGAAGUUUAUCUCUACCCUGUCAUUAAAUAAUCAUAGCAAGGCCAGAGGAGGUAAGACGUGGCCAGAGGGCCCUGAGCUGUUGUCAAGGGCACUGGCUCCGGGCCUGGUUUUCCUGUUUGUUAAUCUGUUGCUGUAGCUGUGUGCCUUGGGCAGACUCUCUCCACCCUCCCAGACCUUGGCUUCCCCACUGGGAAAGUGAGACUUAGAUUAGAUGAUCCUUGCCUAAGCCCGGAUAUGCUAUGAUUUCAGUCCUGAACGAUCACGCCAGGAGAAGAGAGCCUUACCCACUCCAGCACGUCGCCAGCGGCCUGGCCCAGAAUAGGGUCCAGGAAACGGGAACCAGAGCACAGGAUGGUCCUGCCAAGAGGAUUCUGAAAGUGCUUAAUGGCUUAAAGAUCACCAACAACACAACAAGCCAGGCCCUCACGAUUUAGCCUCCAGGGAGAAGUUGGUUGCCACAGUGGUUGUGUGAGGCCAGGUCAAGGUCAAGGUGACGGCCACGACCAGUUCAGCAAGUGACUUGGGCCACGACCCACUCAGCGAGGCCACAGCCAGGGCUUCCUGGAAAAUCCCAGAUGCUCCCAUUCACAGCCAUGUGUCCAUGAUUCUGUUAUAAUGAGGGACCUUACGACUUAUCACCCAGGCUGAAACCACCUGAAGGGUGAGAGCAAGGACCAUACAAAACACUCUGAGACAACAGGCACGUGCCUACUGUCACCUGGGGUGUCCGAUUUCAGGUGUCACCCGGACGGAGCUGAGGGAUGCUGGGAGAGCUGGGGGAGCGGUACUUCUGGGGGCGUCUGGGUGGGUGUGUCUGGAAGAGAUCAGCAUUUGAGGUAGUAACCGAGUAAGGCCACCCUCCGCAGGGUGGGCGGCUUCAUCCAGUCCUUUGAGGUCCUGAAUAGAACACACGGGUGGAGGAAGGGACAACGCGCUCUCUCUUCUUGAGCUGGGACGUCCAUCUCCUGCCCUCAGACGUCGGGGCCCCCGGUUCUCGGAAAUUGCACUUGGACCAAGUCCCACCACAGGCUGUCCUGGUCCCCAGCUUGCAGACGGCCGAUGGGGGGGGCUUCUUGGCCUCUGUAGCCCCCCGCGGCCGCUUCCUAUAAUAAACCUCCCCUCGUGCCCAUCUGUCCAUCCGUCUGUCCUGUUGGCUGUCUCUCUGGAGGACCCUGACUACCACACCCUCACUACAACCAGCAUCAGCUCAGCCCCACGAAUGCGGAAGUUGUUACCUCACAUCUUGGGGAACCAGAACCGUUUGGGGGCCCAGAUGUACUUCAGAAAAAGUGGAACACUUGAGAGGCGCUCUCUCUGUGAGGAUGACGUGUUUUCUCCAAAAGACUAGUAUUUUUCCUUCUGGUCUGAUUAAAAGCUGAGUUCACAGAGUUUUGCUAUUUUUCCCAUGAGCUCUGCACUUUAUUUUUUUUUAUGCUCAUGAGGAGCUUUCACAGAAUCAUCUCACUUGACUUGAGCUUUACAUUGUCCUUCUUCUUCAAAAGAUUCCUUUUCUCAUCACAGACUAUUUUACUUGGAGAAGACUCUGAGGAAAAAAUGUACAGAUGACCCCCCCGCAGUGGUAAAAUAUCCUAAGUUCAUGGAACCGUUAUUUACAUAAAAUUCUAAUUGCAGCCAAUUAGGUAUAAAACUGCAGACCUAGGGCCUGCAGUAGGCCUAGGGCCUAAAAGUACUCCAUUAUUCAUAAAUUAAAAGAUGACCUUCCUGAGUUGAAUUUGGCACUGAUUUUAGAAAUUUGAGCAAAUUAUUUUCAAUAAUGCACGUAAAUAAGGCUAUUAUUAUGCUUCCCCAGGAGAGGCAGAAACUGUGUCUCAUUUUCUUUUUAUUUUAAACAACUAUUCCUGGGGCUGGCAUAGAAUAGACACGCGAUAAAUACUCCUUAUUUGAUUGUUGGAAAGAAAAUUAAAUGAACUGACCUAAGAGAUGUGGUCAAGUCAGGAGUGGAAUCUGCUUUAAUGCUGUGAAAAGUAAAGAUACAAGUGUCAACUGUUGACUUUUUUGACGUACAAAUGAAAUGAUGUUAAAGUAUCAAAAAUUAACAAGAUAUAAACAUUGAUUAUUAUUAUUUAUUACCCCAUUCUAGUUUUGUUAUUCAACAUUACAUUUUAUUAUAAAUUAUCUGCAGAUUAUCAAGUAGUCCUUUAGCCCAAAGUUUCUUGAACAUUUUAGUCAAACUUUUUGGACCCCUGUGUGCCCUUAAAGAUAUCCCAAAUAGCUUUUACUUAUGUGGGUUAUAUAUCUACCCACAUGUACCACACUAGAAAUUUUAAUUCACUUUAAGGUAACAAAACCUGACCCAUUUUACGUUAACACAAAUAACAUAUUUAUGAAAAAUAACUAUAUUUUUGAAAACAAAAAAAUAGGUAGAGUGGUUCUCUUUUAUGUUUUUACAAAUCUCUCUAACGUUUGGUUUAAGAAAAGACAGCUGGGGGUGUGUUUCUGCAUUCAAUUUGUUGCAGCCCAAUUCUUGGCUGAAAUGUGUGGGAAAGAUCCAGUCUCACGUUGACAGACAGUUUAAGACUGCGCGGAUCUUAAUAGCCUUUUCAGAAGUGAACAGUGUUUUCUUUUACUGCAGACACCAUCUGGUAAUUUCUUACAGAUUAGUUGCAAUGUGGAAUCCGAAACCAUAGCAAUGCCCUUCACAUGCCUGUUACGUUACAUCCUUUGGCCUCUCUUGCAGCUUGGAUGCACCUUCUACCCAUGCACGAUUUGUGACAUCCUGUGUUGGCCACUGGAAAAUAAGACUUCACUGAAUUUACACAGAAUCUUCCAAAUCCCAUCGUACGGUAGCAAAAACUCACACUGUUGAUAUAGCCACUGACCUCAUCAGUAUUAUGAAAAUGAUUCUUGACACCCAGACUCUGUAAGAGGGCAUCAGAAACUUCCAGGCCACUCGGGACCACAUUCAGAAGUGCCGUUUUAGCCUCUGCUGAAGCUGCGAACCUUCCAGGCUUUGGAAAUCUUGACCAAGUGACUUUUCAACAUAUGGCCACUAGAGGGCGCACCAAACUGGCAGAACCGUCAAAAAAAUGUAUUCAUACCAAUUCCUUUAAGAAGAAAUUCAAAAGCGUUUUAUAAGACAGAGGAAAAACACCAUAAGCAACUUUAAGUAAUUAUAUUACCAAUAAUCUUUGGCAAUUUUGAAAAAAAGUUACAUUAAUCCUAACUUGGUUCCAACUGGUCACAGCAGUUGUGUCAAAAACACAUCAGUGUAAAAGCUCCAAGCUGAGUAACGGCAGGUUAGUUCUUUGUAGUAACUCUUAUACUGAAAGUAAGUCUUUAAAAAUCUGAGGGUGUGUGAAGUAAGUCAGAAGCAGAAAAACAAAUACCGUAUGCUAACACAUAUGUAUGGAAUCUAAGAAAA